Molecule: ribosomal RNA, 69 nt
Filed under: Simnia spelta
Lineage: Eukaryota; Metazoa; Mollusca; Gastropoda; Littorinimorpha; Ovulidae
Description: Neosimnia spelta partial 18S ribosomal RNA
Rfam family: Eukaryotic large subunit ribosomal RNA
Source: RNAcentral
CCCGACCUCAGAUCGGACGAGAUUACCCGCUGAAUUUAAGCAUAUCACUAAGCGGAGGAAAAAGAAACU